Molecule: ribosomal RNA, 415 nt
Filed under: uncultured bacterium
Lineage: Bacteria
Description: bacterial SSU rRNA
Rfam family: Bacterial small subunit ribosomal RNA
Source: RNAcentral
AUCCAGGGCUGCAAACAUGCUACAAUGGCCGGUACAAAGGGCUGCUAAACCGCGAGGUGGAAUUCCUGGUGUAGCGGUGAAAUGCGCAGAUAUCAGGAGGAACACCAGCGGCGAAGGCGGCGCUCUGGGCCGGUACUGACACUGAGGAGCGAAAGCGUGGGUAGCAAAACAGGAUUAGAUACCCUGGUAGUCCACGCCGUAAACGUUGGGCACUAGGUGUGGGGUCUAUUCAACGGACUCCGUGCCGUCGCUAACGCAUUAAGUGCCCCGCCUGGGGAGUACGGCCGCAAGGCUAAAACUCAAAAGGAAUUGACGGGGGCCCGCACAAGCAGCGGAGCAUGUUGCUUAAUUCGAGGCAACGCGAAGAACCUUACCUGGGUUUGACAUGUAGAGAAAAGCCACAGAGAUGUGGUGU